CUGCCUGGCUCUCCAGCACCACCUCCUCCACUGCCUGGCUCUCCAGCACCACCUCCUCCACUGCCUGGCUCUCCAGCACCACCUCCUCCACUGCCUGGCUCUCCACCACCAUUGCCUUUUUUCCUUUAAUUUUUUUUUCAAAAAACUUCUUCAGCCAGGAUUUCUUUUUCUUUCUUCCUUUUUCCUUCCUUUCUAUAGCCUCCCCAGCAUUGUUUGGUACCGCUGGCGGCCUAAAGCACUUCAGAGAAAGCCAAGUCAUUUUGAGAUGCGUCUCGUUCGAAAUCAGAUUUGUUUUGAAGUGGUACUGGUGCCUACAGCACAAUUUAUAACUUCAGAAUGAUGACAUCAGAGUUGUCACGGUAACAUUGUGUUCUAGAAUUCAAAUGUAGGUGCCAUGAUUGGUCAGUGGUUCCAUUUUUUUAAAUUCUCUGCAUUUUUUAUAUGCUUUAUUCAGCUCAUAUUUUGCAGCAUAUAAUGUAUGAAUUUCCAUAUUUACCUUAAUUAGAUAAACAGGAACAGAGGAAUAAAGCCAAUUAAAAUGUAUGGAACUUCCAGUCUUUCUGUAAUAUGUCACAGAGUAAGGCAUAACUAAACGCACUGCUGAGAAAAUGAGCGUAGAGGAUUACAGUAGUAUAAUGCUAAUCCCUACUAUAUACACUCCAUAUACGAUAUACAUUUUAUAUACAUUUAUUAUGUAUGCAUAUUUUAUAUACAUCUCUGGAAACAGACCGCAUGUUAGAAAGGCUCGUGUAGCUUUAAGGAACACUGCUGCGUGCAAAAGCCUGUGGGUGCACACGUGACGAGAGCGCGCGGGAGAGCCUGAAGGAAUAGGCAGCACGUCGGCGAGCUGCAGUUUAUGUGUAGUUAGUUUAGUUGUUCCUGGCAGUAAAUGGAGUCCCUGGUUUUUUAUGUAUGCGUCACUGACGAAUAACCAUACAUAAAUACAAACUUACUUACCAACCCACUUCGUCUGACUGUGCAUCCAACUGACUUCAAGUAAGAUAAGCCAGAGUACAACUAAUUGCUCCCCCCUCCUGAUUGAGAACGUGUAUCUGGUGAAAUACGGUCAGCAGCCCCCCCCCCCUUCCCUGAAUCUUGUCUAUCCUGAAUAGUGACUGAUAUCCCACAGCGAGUACUACCCUCCUGCAGCAACCCCUUACAGUUUCCUAGGGGAGUGUGGCCCCCCUUUCCCACACCGCAUCAAAUUUUUCAGUUUCACUCAUUUCUCAGUUUAUAGAUUAUGGGUAUGAGCCUGUGUAAAAUACACAUUUUUUUGCAAACUCCAGCCUGGCUCUUCCCUGCUUCUCAUUGAUGAAGGGCUUCUUCCUUGCUUUAUGGGUCUUCACCGCUGCUUCUAGGAGCCUGUCCCACCAGUACACUUCACACUUAAUGUUUUCCAUUCCUUUUUUAAGGUCACUUGAGGUCAUCCUCCGAUUUGUUAGACACUGACGGAUAAGUUGAUGGUCAUCUCUGGCAUUAGAAGGUUGCUUCAGCCCUCUUCCUGUGUACUGCGGUCUUAGAAACUCAUGAGCAUGGAAGCAGCCUGCCUCACAUUGUAGCCUUCUGCCAGCAGAACCAGGAUUAAACCAGAAUUUAACAAUGCAGAUUUGAAAAAGUAUAUAGAGUGGUCUCUUAACUUUUUUCCAGAGCUGUGUGUUGUUUAUUUUAUGUUUUGGCUGCAUGUUUGAACCUGAGACCAGUUUUCAAAUGGAGUCUGUUUGAGAAUACUACAUUCACACCCCCAAAACCUUCGUAUCCCAAAUACUGCAUCAUGAAAGGUGAAAACUGGUAGGUUUAUGCUGGUGAAAUAAUGAAGAUAGAUGCUGCUGCUUUUAAAUCAUUCACAAGGUUGUUUAUUGAAAUGGUUUAUUGAAAGGCAUCUAACAAUUUCAAACACAUAUGGAGAUAUAAUAGACAUUCGCCUCAGAAUUAUAUUUUAUGUAAUUUUAUCUUUAAAGUGACCUUAUUAAAUUUGUUCCCCGAAGUAAUAAUUUCAUCUCACACCCUGAGUGCUUUUGCACUCUGGUUAUAUGUGCUGUUAGUGUGCUAGCAGCAUUUUCUACCCAGGGAGUCUGAUCGAAACCCAAAAUCAAGCUGCUGCUGUGAGCUCCUGCUGAGCACCCUGCUCGGAGGCAUGUACACUCGACGGACGCUACGGAGUGCUCCAGUGACCGCCCACUAGUAUAUAUCUGCUGGACUCGACACUCGCCGUACCGUACACCAGACAAAGCAUAACACAGUGUGGUGAACAGUGAUUUCUAUCAUCUAUAUUCUUGUCCUCAGUAGGCGUUAUGAUGCUGACGUGUCACUGAACGUGUCAGGCAAUGUAGUCCAUAUCUGGUUUGAUAUCUUACUCCUGGGGAUACCUGCAUUUCUAGGGACACAUUGAACUGCUUAUAGACUUUUCACAUUUCCCUUUGUCUUCAUGAAAUAGUUUCUCAAUUGGAUUUCUACAGAAGUUCAGAAGAGCAGGCCUUGAUUUCUUUGGACAACCUGUGCUUAAAGCAUGUGACUGGACAUUAUUAUUCUUAGAGAUGGAGAAAUAUGCGUCUUCUCUGUUCAUUCCUAGAAUAAGGAAUGAAAUACAGGCAAUCUACAGCCCAAGGAAGGCAGACAACCGCCUCUAUCUGAUUACAUGGUCGGUAAGAUCAGUUUCCUGGGGAACUCAGUGACUGGAGAUUGCAGGAGGAGGUGCGUCCAAGCAACUAGACAAGGCAGGACCAAUCAGAUGUCUUGGUCCUGCCUCCACUAGUUGCUUGGACCCACCCCCUGUACAAUCUGAUUGGUAAUCUCUCUGAACCAAUCACGUUUUGUUCUGCCCUCAGAGCAUUUUUGUAUAAAAUAUAAGCAUACCACGAGUAUACUUUGCUUUUUUAUUCCUUAUUUGUUGUGUUUAGUUUGUUUUUAUGUUAUAUGGUUUGUGUGUCUACACUGUGCCAACAUGUUCCAUGUAUGAAAAUAUUGUACAGGACUUCUGCUGAUUGCACUUUGUACAUUUUCACAGCUGUGCAAAUAUUGGUUUGAUUGGCCUGUUGGCGCGUAAGUGUGCAUGCUGUUGAGGUAUAUUUUACAGGACAGUUAAAGCAUUUCUUUUGUACCCAGUUGUUAAUUCUUCAUUGUGCAUCUGCAGUUUUGUAAAUAAGUGUCAGUGUUUGACAAUUUUGCCUGUGCAAUCAAAAACUACUGAGAAAGUCUUCUGAGAGAAACUUAAUUUGGACUAUUGUCUGUAUGGCUUAAAAGUACAAGGUCAUGCAUCUAUCUCAUCAGUGUGAUUUAGCAAAGGCAUAGUAACUCUCAUUGCUGUCAGUGCUUUGAGCAGAAAUUCAGGCUGGUUGAGGAAUACAGCAUUUUAAUGUCCUUCACUGUUAACUUAAAAAGGUUCCAUGCCAUUUUGUUUUUCAGACACUAAGUGAACUAUAGACAAGGUCUCACUUAGAUGCAGUUCUCCUUGAUGUAGCUGGGUUUGAUUUGUGGCUGGUGUGUAGCUGGCCUCUGAGAUGUUGCUCAUGACCCUGUUCAGCGCAGGAAACAUCCAUCAGUGAGCAGGAGGGUGUUCCUUGCUGCGGCACGCAAGAAGGGAAAUUGUCUCCCACAACUUGCUCUUUUUUCAUAGAGGAAGUUGUCUGCGAAGGGCUGCCACCCGUAGCGGCGCCCAGGGAGCUGGGAGUUAAGGGCCUUGCUCAAGGGCCCACAGUCUGAGGCGGGGUUUGAACCUGCGACCUUCUGAUUACAGGCACACAGGCUUAGCGCACAGAGCCACACGCUGCUCCCUAAUUUGCACAACCCAGUGGAAUACUCAAAAUUCUAGACUAUUGAUAAGCCAAUGUUCAUGAUAUAUCAGGAGAUUUUUUAAACUGCCAUAUUUGAAAGAUUACCUCAUUGAUAGCAUUUAUCAGCACUGCUCUUACCUGAAAGAUAUCAGCGGAAACGCACUGUGGACUGCCCGCUGUGUUUACAGUGUCUUGAAGUCCUUAAAUCAGCAGUGUCCUGAUAAAAUAAAUCCAAGCCAAAGUCCCUUAUAUAAGGAUAGUGUGAUAGAAAAUUCUUGAUUAUGCUAAUCAGUAAUCAAUAACGGAAUAUAGAUGAUUAUGCAAAAUGAAUUACCUAAUCAGUAAUUAACAAUUGAGUUUAUAAUGUGUUGUUGAUUUACACAUAGUGGUUGAAAUAAUGAA
Long non-coding RNA from Brienomyrus brachyistius, 4172 nucleotides. RefSeq lists it as uncharacterized. NCBI's taxonomy places the organism in Eukaryota, Metazoa, Chordata, Actinopteri, Osteoglossiformes, Mormyridae. The transcript has 3 exons. The record is from RefSeq and is a predicted model, not a curated record.